Molecule: ribosomal RNA, 431 nt
Filed under: uncultured bacterium
Lineage: Bacteria
Description: bacterial SSU rRNA
Rfam family: Bacterial small subunit ribosomal RNA
Source: RNAcentral
ACGAACGCUGGCGGCAGGCUUAACACAUGCAAGUCGAACGAAGUCUUCGGACUUAGUGGCGCACGGGUGAGUAACACGUGGGAAUAUACCUUUUGGUACGGAACAACGUCUGGAAACGGACGCUAAUACCGUAUGGUCCCUUCGGGGUAAAGAUUUAUCGCCAAAAGAGUAGCCCGCGUUGGAUUAGCUAGUUGGUAAGGUAAUGGCUUACCAAGGCGACGAUCCAUAGCUGGUCUGAGAGGACGAUCAGCCACACUGGGACUGAGACACGGCCCAGACUCCUACGGGAGGCAGCAGUUAGGAAUAUUGGACAAUGGGCGCAAGCCUGAUCCAGCCAUGCCGCGUGAGUGAUGAAGGCCUUCGGGUUGUAAAGCUCUUUAGUCCACGAAUAUAAUGACUGUAGUGGAAGAAUAAGCCCCGGCUAACUUCGU